GAGAAGGUGCCAGAGCGGUCAAUUGGAGCUGAUUGUAAAUCCGCGGACGAAAGUCUUCGUAGGUUCGAAUCCUACUCUUCUCA
RNAcentral lists this transfer RNA (83 nucleotides) under Prasinoderma coloniale. RNAcentral describes it as "tRNA-Tyr". It matches the Rfam family "tRNA". Rfam says of the family: Transfer RNA (tRNA) molecules are approximately 80 nucleotides in length. Their secondary structure includes four short double-helical elements and three loops (D, anti-codon, and T loops). Lineage: Eukaryota; Viridiplantae; Prasinodermophyta; Prasinodermophyceae; Prasinodermales; Prasinodermaceae. The record is from RNAcentral.